GGGACUGUGACUCAGUGGUAGAGUAUCUGCUUGGUAUGCAGAAGAUCCCGGGUUCAAUCCCCAGCACCUCCA
Molecule: transfer RNA, 72 nt
Filed under: Sphaerodactylus townsendi
Lineage: Eukaryota; Metazoa; Chordata; Lepidosauria; Squamata; Sphaerodactylidae
Description: tRNA-Thr
Rfam family: tRNA
About the family: Transfer RNA (tRNA) molecules are approximately 80 nucleotides in length. Their secondary structure includes four short double-helical elements and three loops (D, anti-codon, and T loops).
Source: RNAcentral